RNAcentral lists this long non-coding RNA (1368 nucleotides) under Bos grunniens (domestic yak). RNAcentral describes it as "lncRNA (ENSBGRG00000018701.1)". Lineage: Eukaryota; Metazoa; Chordata; Mammalia; Artiodactyla; Bovidae. The record is from RNAcentral.
AGCACGGAACUGAAGCCUCCUCUCUGGGACCCCGAGGACCCCGCCUCCCAGCUUCGGUCAUGAGCACGUGGACAGGCUCGCCACGGGGUGCAGUGCUGCGAACAGGGAGAGAGGCAGGCGGACACACACCACCGUGCAUGAGGGCCACAGAGGGGCACAGGGGCGGGCAGACGACGGGCGCCAGGAGACGUGACACAGCAGCCGACACCAGGGAGGAGGACACAUUCGCACAGCGACUGGGAAGACGCGAGGGCGAGGGGCUCCUCCAAGGGGAAGCUCGGGGUCCUCUAGGUCACGGCUGCCAACUCAGCCUUCACCCCGAAGGGCAGCGAGCUGCAACUACUCCGGGUUAAGCAGGAAGUGGCCUGAGACGUGAGAUUCCAGAAGGCGGUGCUGGCAGCUGAGUGGACUCCCGGGUGAGAGGACCAGCAGAUGGCCAGGCCCCCAGAGCAGAACAGAGGCCCACAGCGCCCCACACCCGCCAGCUGGGCUGCGCCACACGGGGCAGGGAGGGUCACCUCUCCCCAUGGACAACACUGGUCUACAGAUGCUCUCCGUGCACAGGGCUGGUCCAGAUAUAGCCCGCUCCCCGAAUGGAACCAGUGCAAACACAAGGCAGAAACGAGGCCUCUCGCUGAGACAGAAAGUGCUAUGGGAACUCGAGGGAUGAAGAAGUCCCUUCCGAGUGGCAGGCGGGGCAGCAGCUGAGAGAAGGCAAGCCCUGAGCCGGGCCCUGAGAACAAGGAACACUCUGGAUGGUGACAGGGGCAGAGCAGAGACGGCGUGGCGUGCAUGCCACACAGAGGGCUGGCCCGGCUGGCUGCCAUGUGUCACCAACGGGGAAGCGAUCGGAAGGAACCUUCCAGAAGCAGCAGGCGUGCCCCGCGCAAACAACUCAGAGACACGGCUCCUCGAUGCAGUUCCACUUCUGCCAUGGCCAGCCCCUUCCAGAGACCCCACCAGCGAGUGCGGUCACCAGGGAGGGCCCGGCCUGGCAGGUGGGAGCUGCUGGGCAGGGGGCCACCUCCUCCACGGAUCCAGGCUUUCUCACACGCUGGCCUUCCGAGGAACAGAGGAGGGCCGAGAGAUCUACUAGCACAACCAGGUUGGCCAAAGUCCCACCCUCGGAGGCCCCUUCUGCUCCUGGAGGCCCCUGCUCCAGUCCUUCCACGGGCUCCUGAGUCAGCUCUCAGACAGAUCCCCCGCUUCCUGGGCAGGCGCAGGGCCUGGGACCGCGGUGACUUUGGCUCCAGUUACUGUACCCACCCAAGAGCCCUCUGGGGUAACAGGCUAGGGGGGCCUGGGUUCCAAAUACUGUCCACCCACCCCAAUCAUGGCAGUGUCCCACACCCGUGUCCCAACCCCUGA